This 121-nucleotide ribosomal RNA is filed under the name Dunaliella salina. Lineage: Eukaryota; Viridiplantae; Chlorophyta; Chlorophyceae; Chlamydomonadales; Dunaliellaceae. The record is from RNAcentral.
CCCUGGCACUAGGUCUCAUUUUCCAAAUGAUCGCUCAUUUAGUAUUGAGACCCUCAGGCUAUUUCACAACCUAGUUCGAGAUGGAGUAGGUGUGGGUCCAACCUGACAUGGAGCACCAAGG